ACGAGUUUAAUUUCUCGGAACACCGAAGCCAAAAGAAAAGGAUCUCGGUAUCUUCCAGAAUCAUAGUCCACAUGCUCCUCACAUUAAAACACUUGAUCCCUGAAAACAAAGGCACGAUAAAACGUACAAACUCAUAUUCAAAUUCCAUGUGCCUCAAAAAUAUGGAUUUAUGCUAGUUGACUAUAUAUACAAAAAAGAAAGGGACUGGAAAAAGAAAAAAGCUCCAACUUAUUCUUCGCUGAUACUUGUCUCCACAAAUACACCCUUGAUCAACUAUUUAGCCUGGAAAUUUGUGACCAGUGCUCAGAAUCUACAACUAUCAAGGAUGCAUAAAAUCAUAAGUUAUAAACUAAGAUCCAAAAAACCCUAGAUCAAUCAUACACUCAAUACAAGAAGGAAAACAACCACUUCAAGC
Molecule: unclassified non-coding RNA, 415 nt
Filed under: Hevea brasiliensis (rubber tree)
Lineage: Eukaryota; Viridiplantae; Streptophyta; Magnoliopsida; Malpighiales; Euphorbiaceae
Source: RNAcentral